GCAAAUGAAAUCUCUUUAUAAUAAUCUUUGUUUAAGAUAAUUUUCUUUUUAGUUUUGAUGUAAUUUCAGGAGCCCGCCUGAAGUACAAGACGAAUAAAUGAAAAGUCAAGUAACAAGGUGAAAGUUGAAAGUUAAGCAACAGAGUGAAGAAGUUGAAAGUUAAGCAACAAGGUGAAGAAAUUGAAAGUCAACAGAUUGAAAAAUUGCAAGUCAGGAACCCACCUGAAGAACAGGGUGAAGAAAUUAAAAAUCAAGCAACAAGUUGAAGAAAUUGCAAGUCAGGAGCCCGCUUGAAAAACAGGUUGAAGAAAUUGCAAGUCAGGAGCCCGCCUGAAGAAUAAGAUGAUGAAAUAGUAAGUAAAAAGUCAAAGAAGCUGUAUAGAAAGAAUUUUUGUAAUUUCAUUUGUGUUUUAACUUGUAAUUUUCAUUUUUGAUAUAAUGACAGAGCCGCAGACCGGAACCUCGAUGGGACCUCACUCAACUCUCUAACGCGGUUAUCCUUCUUCCUUCUGUUUCUUUCCUUGAAUAAUGGUCGGAUCAAAAUUUGAUCUCGUUAUCUACUUUUUUAUCUGAAAAUACUUUGUGUUUACACCCCAAAAGGGGCAUGAUAUAGACAUGUAAUUUUACCUCUCUCGAAGUUUAAUUUUAUUUAUUUUUACCUCACCUUAUCAUACACCCUCACCCAUGUAAUUAUACCCCAUAAAAAUACAAAAAAAAAUAACAAAAUUUUAAUAAAUCCCUAAUAAAUUUUAUCUCUAAAUUUCCACAUAAUUUCAAUUUGAACAAACUAACAACCCUUUCCUUUCAAGUUUUGACACAUAACCACCCCACACUCUACCUCACUACCUAUCCCACGUGGUCCCCACCUUCCUAACAAACUCACGCAUUCACCACACUCACCUCACAAUUUCCAUUAACAUAUUACAUACACAUACACGCAAUAAAAUAUACACAUUGUCACGGGCCCCACCACUAACAAACUCACACCCAGACAAUACGGAUCCACACAACAAUAAAAUAUACACAUUCCAAUUUUUGUUUUCUUUUCUUCUUCACUGGAAGUUACACUCAACACCCACAGAUGCACAUACUCCUCCAUAACACACCAGAAUUUAUCUUCCACACCAUCACAUAUAGAGUAGAUUGAAGAUAACACUACACACGCACACACAGUGAGAUCGAGAACGGGAGGGGGUGAAAGAUAAAGAAAACUGAAUGGAGAGAUCGAGAGGGAAGGGAGAAGAAAGGGAGGAGAUUGAGAGUGACAAAAUCGUGAGAAUAGGGGAGAAACAGAGGGGAAAACGAGAGAGAGAGACUGACGGCGAGAUAGGGUGUUUUCGGUGAAUUUCUCAUCGGAAUCGCCAUCGAAAAAUACCCUCCAUCGCUGUAUUGUCACGGUUACGAUUAAUUUGUGGCCGGGAAACACCACCACUUUCGUUUCUGGCCCACGCACCAUCAAUUUCCAUUUCCGAUCAAACUGCUCAUCGGAAUCCCAUCAGAUCGGAAUUGGUUAUCCCCCGCCGGAAAAUACCUCCAAAGCGACGAUCGCUGCUCCGAUUCAGUGGCGAAACCACCAUCGAACAGUGAAUCUCUCUUCCUUGGCUGUUCUUUUUUCGUAUUGUCGAGUUGGCUUCAAGUUGAGGUCGUUGUUGGGUUUGAGAUUUGCGUGGUUCCGGUCGUGGCUCCUUCUCUAUGUAUUGUUGAAAUUCUUUGAAGAAACUCGUGAUUAAGCCCCGAUUUGAGGUUUAAUUUUAUGUCGUUCUCAUUUUGAUUUUAUUAUAUACGUGUGAUUGAUUAGUAUCGUCUCGAUUUUUUUUCUUAUUUUAUGCGUGAUGUGAAUGAUGAUGUUAUAUUAUACUGAUGAUGGAUGGUUAAAAUUAUUAAUCGUGAAUUGUGAAAAUUUGGUGUUAAAAGAAAAAUCGGGGUAGAAUUGAGAAAUUGAUAAAAAGGGUAAAUUUGAAUUGAUUGAGAUUCAUUGAUUUUGGUUUAAUUAGGUUUAAGUAUGAAUAUUGUUGAACACGAUAGUUGCAUGAUUAGGCUGUUAAAUCGAUAGGCAAACGUAGGUUGGGGUAGACAAAGUUUAGAAUUUGUGGUUUUAUUGAAUGUUUGAAAGUUUGCUAAAUUGUUUGUUUUUCUCGCAUUGAAAAAUGUACUUAUUCACUGAGAAAUAUCCCGAGCACACAUUAUAUUUAUUCACCGAAAAAUGUCCUGACGUAUCAUGUAUACAAGGAGGUUCGUGAGGAAGGCCCAAGGCAUCGGGUAAAUUAUCGGAGCUUAGUCUAGAAUUAGUUUAGAAUAUGAUUUACAUUUUCAUAUUUUUCUAUUUUUGGGACUGUAUAACUCGGACUGGACAUUAUUUUGAUUUUGAACUUUGUUUGAUUUGUUGUUGCUUGUUUUAUGUGCUUUAUGUGGUUUAUACAUUUAUAGUGUCAAAUUAGUUGAUAUGCUCCGUCGAGCGACCGUGGUUGAAUCAUGGGAUCGAGGAGUACCUAACACCUUUCCCUCGGUCAACAGAAUUUCUUAACCAAAAUUUUUGUUUGCGGAUCAGUUUUUAGAGUCAAACUUUUUUGAAAAAAAAAUUUCCAAGGUGACUUGGCACACCCGAUCUAUGCCAAGACUCUGAAUUUGAAUGUAAAAAUAAUCUUUUUUCCAAACAAAUCUUUACUUUUGUCACUUUAAUAAUAAAAACCCUUUCGAACCUUAAAAUUAAUAUCUUUUUUGGUUAAAAAAAAGAGGUGUGACAGUCUAUAGAAGCCAACUAAUACGAAAUGAAGGGAGCCGAAGUUUUCAAGUAAGAUUUGUAACUUAUUCAGUAAUCAUCAAACAAAAUACUUUCUCCAUUUUCUUUUAUGUACCACAUUUUGAGUAUUUUAAUAAUAUAUUUAAGAAAAAUAGAUGACUUUGAAACUUGAAUUUUAAAAUAUAUUUAGGUAUUUAUUUGAACGUAAAUCAUUUUACUAAGGAUUAAACAAAAAUUUAAAGUAUUUUUUUUCUAAUUCUAGUAAGGUAAUCCUUUUUUUUUUUUUUGAGACGGAUUAAAAUGAAAAG
RNAcentral lists this long non-coding RNA (3048 nucleotides) under Capsicum annuum. Its description in RNAcentral is "long non-coding RNA (CANN_LNC004897)". Lineage: Eukaryota; Viridiplantae; Streptophyta; Magnoliopsida; Solanales; Solanaceae. The record is from RNAcentral.